This 427-nucleotide ribosomal RNA is filed under the name uncultured bacterium. RNAcentral's name for it is "partial 16S ribosomal RNA". It matches the Rfam family "Bacterial small subunit ribosomal RNA", at positions 355 to 774 of the family's 1533-position model. The record is from RNAcentral.
UGGGGAAUAUUGGACAAUGGGCGAAAGCCUGAUCCAGCCAUGCCGCGUGUGUGAAGAAGGUCUUCGGAUUGUAAAGCACUUUAAGUUGGGAGGAAGGGCAGUAAGUUAAUACCUUGCUGUUUUGACGUUACCGACAGAAUAAGCACCGGCUAACUCUGUGCCAGCAGCCGCGGUAAUACAGAGGGUGCAAGCGUUAAUCGGAAUUACUGGGCGUAAAGCGCGCGUAGGUGGUUUGUUAAGGUGGAUGUGAAAGCCCCGGGCUCAACCUGGGAACUGCAUCCAAAACUGGCAAGCUAGAGUACGGUAGAGGGUGGUGGAAUUUCCUGUGUAGCGGUGAAAUGCGUAGAUAUAGGAAGGAACACCAGUGGCGAAGGCGACCACCUGGACUGAUACUGACACUGAGGUGCGAAAGCGUGGGGAGCAAACA